GGGGCUGUAGCUCAGUGGUAGAGCACUUGCCUCUUGUGUGAGGCACUGGGUUCGCUCCUCAGCACCA
RNAcentral lists this transfer RNA (67 nucleotides) under Ictidomys tridecemlineatus (thirteen-lined ground squirrel). Its description in RNAcentral is "Spermophilus tridecemlineatus (thirteen-lined ground squirrel) tRNA". It matches the Rfam family "tRNA". From Rfam's summary of the family: Transfer RNA (tRNA) molecules are approximately 80 nucleotides in length. Lineage: Eukaryota; Metazoa; Chordata; Mammalia; Rodentia; Sciuridae. The record is from Rfam by way of RNAcentral. RNAcentral also lists the same sequence under 1 other name.